Molecule: microRNA precursor, 144 nt
Organism: Oryza rufipogon (brownbeard rice)
Lineage: Eukaryota; Viridiplantae; Streptophyta; Magnoliopsida; Poales; Poaceae
Rfam family: MIR812 microRNA precursor family
Source: Rfam
AAUAAAUGUAGUUUUGUAUUCUUCAUGUUAAACGUUUGACUGUUCAUUUUAUUUGAAUUUUUUUUAUGAUUAGUAUUUUUAUAGUUAUUAGAUGAUAAAAUAUGAAUAGUACAUUGGACACGGAUAUCCACGGCUGCACUUAUU